UGCCGAGUGGACGACUUGGAAAGUCGCUGUGACUCUGAAUCACAGAGAUGUUGGUACCCUUCGGGAAGCCACUUCGUGUCUACGACCCCAACCUCGGCAACCA
RNAcentral lists this transfer RNA (103 nucleotides) under Tolypothrix sp. FACHB-123. Its description in RNAcentral is "tRNA-Gln". Lineage: Bacteria; Bacillati; Cyanobacteriota; Cyanophyceae; Nostocales; Tolypothrichaceae. The record is from RNAcentral.